Numida meleagris (helmeted guineafowl) is the source of this 520-nucleotide long non-coding RNA. RefSeq lists it as uncharacterized. The transcript is spliced from 2 exons. The record is from RefSeq and is a predicted model, not a curated record. NCBI's taxonomy places the organism in Eukaryota, Metazoa, Chordata, Aves, Galliformes, Numididae.
CACACAUGGCAGGAGGGUGGGAACGGACCUGGGGGAGCCCCACAGAUGCUUGCCCCGAGUUUAUUCUCCUUCAAGCACCUGCAUGGCCAAUGCUGGAAAAGGCAUGCUGAGCCUGAUGAACCUUUUGCCAGGGACAGGAUGGCCAUUUUCACAGGAUGAGCAGGGCACACGAUGAUUCUUAAGCUUGCUUCUUCUACGAAGAAGUGAGAGAAGACAGCAGAGGACAGCCUUUAGAGCAUCUUCUGAAGCUUCCGUUCUCUGACAUAUCAACCUGGAGUAGCAGCUACCCCGUCUUUGAAGAUUAGUUCCAUAAAAGAUAAACGUCUUCUACAGUAAAUAAUAAAUUACAAAUAAGGGUCUUAAUGAUUUUCUUGCUCUUCACUGCCCCAGGAUCAUUAAUUACACCGUUCAGGAUAUUCUGCCUUUUAGGCAGUUUCAACCAUUAUAACUUUCAUGUCUGCAAAGAGCAACAACAAAAAAACCCAAAACAAUAAAAGCCCACAGGCUUUGGGAAACUCAA